UCCACACAGCAGGCUGAGCAAGAAGUAUGUGAAACAGGAAGUCAAAGAGGCUCUGGCACAUCACUUCGGGCAAGGGGGUCUCCACCUUGCACUCCUGGUUCAGAGAGCAGAUGUGCCUUUCUGUGGGCAGGAAGUAACUGACCCAGUCCAGAUGAUCCAGGAACUUCUUGGACAUGCUUGGAUGAAUUACACAGCCAUUCUUUUUA
This 206-nucleotide long non-coding RNA is filed under the name Homo sapiens (human). RNAcentral describes it as "non-protein coding lnc-TBCK-2:1". Lineage: Eukaryota; Metazoa; Chordata; Mammalia; Primates; Hominidae. The record is from RNAcentral.